RNAcentral lists this ribosomal RNA (275 nucleotides) under uncultured soil bacterium. RNAcentral describes it as "partial 16S ribosomal RNA". It matches the Rfam family "Bacterial small subunit ribosomal RNA", at positions 26 to 285 of the family's 1533-position model. The record is from RNAcentral.
AGAAUCAACGCUGGCGGCGUGCCUCAGACAUGCAAGUCGAACGCGAAAGUUCCCUUCGGGGGCAAGUAGAGUGGCGCACGGGUGAGUAACACGUAGGUAAUCUACCUUUGGAUGGGGAAUAACAACCGGAAACGGUUGCUAAUACCGCAUAAUGCAGCGGCACCUAAUGGUGACAGUUGUUAAAGCGGGGGAUCGAAAGACCUCGCGUCUGAAGAGGAGCCUGCGGCGGAUUAGCUAGUUGGUAGGGUAACGGCCUACCAAGGCUACGAUCCGUA